ACAUUAGAAGGAUUGACAGAUUGAUAGCUCUUUCAUGAUUUGAUGGGUGGUGGUGCAUGGCCGUUCUUAGUUGGUGGAGUGAUUUGUCUGGUUAAUUCCGUUAACGAACGAGACCUUAACCUACUAACUAGUACGACGUGACGAACGUUAGUUACUUCUUAGAGGGACAAUGUGUAUUUUUAACACAAGGAAGUUUAAGGCAAUAACAGGUCUGUGAUGCCCUUAGAUGUCCUGAGCCGCACACGCGCUACAAUGACACUUUCAAUAAGUUUUUGCUGGUCCGACAGGAUUUCGGCUAAUCUUUUUAGUAAGUGUCGUGCUAGGGAUAGAUCUUUGCAAUUGUGGAUCUUGAACGAGGAAUUCCUAGUAAGCACAAGUCAUCAGCUUGUGCUGAUUACGUCCCUGCCC
RNAcentral lists this ribosomal RNA (408 nucleotides) under uncultured eukaryote. RNAcentral describes it as "SSU rRNA". It matches the Rfam family "Eukaryotic small subunit ribosomal RNA", at positions 1228 to 1658 of the family's 1831-position model. The record is from RNAcentral.